This 486-nucleotide ribosomal RNA is filed under the name uncultured bacterium. Its description in RNAcentral is "partial 16S ribosomal RNA". It matches the Rfam family "Bacterial small subunit ribosomal RNA", at positions 30 to 507 of the family's 1533-position model. The record is from RNAcentral.
AUUGAACGCUGGCGGCAUGCCUUACACAUGCAAGUCGAACGGCAGCACGGGUGCUUGCACCUUGUGGCGAGUGGCGCACGGGUGAGUAAUACAUCGGAACAUGUCCUGUAGUGGGGGAUAGCCCGGCGAAAGCCGGAUUAAUACCGCAUACGAUCUACGGAUGACAGCGGGGGACCUUCGGGCCUCGCGCUAUAGGGUUGGCCGAUGGCUGAUUAGCUAGUUGGUGGGGUAAAGGCCUACCAAGGCGACGAUCAGUAGCUGGUCUGAGAGGACGACCAGCCACACUGGGACUGAGACACGGCCCAGACUCCUACGGGAGGCAGCAGUGGGGAAUUUUGGACAAUGGGCGAAAGCCUGAUCCAGCAAUGCCGCGUGUGUGAAGAAGGCCUUCGGGUUGUAAAGCACUUUUGUCCGGAAAGAAAUCCUUGGCCCUAAUACGGUCGGGGGAUGACGGUACCGGAAGAAUAAGCACCGGCUAACUACGUG